AGCAGUGUGGCUCAGUGGAAAGAGCCCCGGCUCCGGAGUCGGAGGUCAGGGGUUCGAAUCCCGGCUUUGCCA
This 72-nucleotide transfer RNA is filed under the name Ornithorhynchus anatinus (platypus). It matches the Rfam family "tRNA". From Rfam's summary of the family: Transfer RNA (tRNA) molecules are approximately 80 nucleotides in length. Lineage: Eukaryota; Metazoa; Chordata; Mammalia; Monotremata; Ornithorhynchidae. The record is from Rfam by way of RNAcentral.